GACGAACGCUGGCGGCGUGCUUAACACAUGCAAGUCGAACGAUGAAGCCUAGCUUGCUAGGUGGAUUAGUGGCGAACGGGUGAGUAAUACGUGAGUGACCUACCUUUGACUCUGGGAUAAGCCUGGGAAACUGGGUCUAAUACCGGAUACGACCAAUCUCCGCAUGGGGUGUUGGUGGAAAGCGUUAUGGAGUGGUUUUAGAUGGGCUCACGGCCUAUCAGCUUGUUGGUGAGGUAAUGGCUUACCAAGGCGACGACGGGUAGCCGGCCUGAGAGGGUGACCGGCCACACUGGGACUAAGACACGGCCCAGACUCCUACGGGAGGCAGCAGUGGGGAAUAUUGCACAAUGGGCGCAAGCCUGAUGCAGCGACGCCGCGUGAGGGAUGACGGCCUUCGGGUUGUAAACCUCUGUUAGCAUCGAAGAAGCGAAAGUGACGGUAGGUGCAGAGAAAGCGCCGGCUAACUACGUG
Molecule: ribosomal RNA, 471 nt
Filed under: uncultured bacterium
Lineage: Bacteria
Description: partial 16S ribosomal RNA
Rfam family: Bacterial small subunit ribosomal RNA
Source: RNAcentral